RNAcentral lists this transfer RNA (67 nucleotides) under Pyrearinus termitilluminans (Brazilian larval click-beetle). RNAcentral's name for it is "tRNA-Met". The record is from RNAcentral. Lineage: Eukaryota; Metazoa; Arthropoda; Insecta; Coleoptera; Elateridae.
AAAAAGGUAAGCUAACCCAAGCUUUCGGGUUCAUACCCCGGCCAUAAAGAAGAACUUUCCUUUUUAA